GGCGAUAUGGCCGAGCGGUCUAAGGCGCUAGAAUCAGGACAUUGUCCAAUCUAGUCCGAAAGGGCGUGGGUUCGAAUCCCACUGUCGUCA
Molecule: non-coding RNA, 90 nt
Organism: Trametes meyenii
Lineage: Eukaryota; Fungi; Basidiomycota; Agaricomycetes; Polyporales; Polyporaceae
Source: the annotation of a GenBank genome assembly